Molecule: long non-coding RNA, 791 nt
Organism: Onychostoma macrolepis
Lineage: Eukaryota; Metazoa; Chordata; Actinopteri; Cypriniformes; Cyprinidae
Exons: 3
Source: RefSeq, a predicted model, not a curated record
UCAGAGUGCACAGUUUGCUGAAGAUUCCAAACAAACACAAUGGAUGAAGGCAGAGUCAGGGGAAGAGGAAUUCAAGUCAGAGGAGGGAGAAGAGCUGGCCAUGGAAGAAGAGGAGCAGGCCAACAAGGGAGAGGAGAAGGUCCAGGAGGGAGAGCAAGACAACCUCGCACCAUCAUUACGGACGAGAUGCGAGCAACAGUCAUUGACCAUGUCAUUGUCCAUGGCAUGACAAUGGCUGAAGCAGGACUAAGAGUCCGUCCAAACCUGAGUAGGUUCACCGUGGCCACCAUUAUCAGGGCAUUCAGACAACACAACAGAGUUGAAAGAAUGCCACAUAGAGGUGGGAGGGUUGCCAUAUUUACAGCGGCACAAGAAACCCUCAUUGUGGAUAUGGUUCGUGAGAACAACCUCCAUCAGACUCCGGGAGAUCAGAGACAAAGUCAUUGCCGAUAAUGUCAACUUUGAGAGCAUUGAUGUCAGCUUGGCCACAAUAGACCGAGUUCUCCGGCGCCAAAAGAUGCGGAUGAAACGGGUCUAUAGGGUUCCCUUUGAGCGCAACUCUGCGUGACACAAAGACCUACGUUACGAGUAUGUGCAAAGGAUAUUACAGUUGGACGCGAUGGCCAGACCUCAUGAGUACAUCUUCCUGGAUGAGGCUGGCUUCAACCUGCAGAAACGAAGGCAAAGAGGCCGUAACAUCAUUGGCCAAAGAGCCAUCACUGAGGUUCCUGGCCAACGGGGGGGUAAUUCUGCCAUUACAGUUUUUUUUUUUACAAUCAUUUUUUCACUAA